AUGAUUUCCAGGUGCCGCAUCUAUCCUGUCAUCGUUGCACACGGUCAUCCAUUUCUUAUCCACCUCAUCCCACCACAGGCCACACAUCUCCGGCCACGCGGGACGCCCACGGCCCCCCUCCGCCGUCGGAUCUCGCAACCACCAGAUCCCACCCGUCCACUGCCCACCCAAACCCUCUCUUCCACUCUCCUCUUCCCAGCAGACCAGAGCCAGCCGAGCCAGCUGCUCCACACCACUCCCCACCCCACGCUCCACGACGCGCGCGAGCGAGCCAUGGCCGCCCUCCGCCUCGCCUCCUCCAUCACCCUCUGCCCGGCGGCCGCGGCCGCGUCGCCCUCGUCGGCCGCCGCGCCCCGCGCCGCCUCCUUCGCCUGCGCGGUCGCGCGCGGGCUCCCCUCCCUCCGCCUCGCCGCGCCCCGCCGCCGCCGCGGCGACAUCGGCAGGCCCAGCGCCGCCGGCGCCGAGGCCGCGGCCGAGAACUACGCGACCGCGCUCACGGAGGUGGCCGCCGAGAGCGACUCCCUCGACGCGACCGUGGCCGACAUGGAGAAGCUGGAGAAGAUCUUCGCCGAGGAGGCCAUCGCCGAGUUCUUCGACAACCCCACCGUGCCGCGCGAGGAGAAGACGGCGCUCAUCGACGAGAUCGCCAAGUCGUCGGAGCUGCAGCCGCACACCGUCAACUUCCUCAACGUGGUCAUCGACAACACCCGCGCCAGCCUGAUGCCGCAGAUCGUGCGCGAGUUCGAGACCGCCUACAACGCGCUCACCGGCACCGAGGAGGCCGUCGUCACCUCCGUCGUGCAGCUCGAGUCGCAGGACCUCGCGCAGAUCGCCACGCACGUGCAGAACAUCACCGGCGCCGCCAACGUCCGGAUCAAGACCCGACUUGACCCGGAGCUCAUCGCCGGCUUCACCGUGCAGUACGGCCGCGACAGCUCCAACUUCAUCGACAUGAGCGUCCGCAAGCAGAUCGCGGAGAUCACGUCCGAGUUCGAGAUGCCCUCCGUCAACCUCGAAGUCUGA
Molecule: ribosomal RNA, 1023 nt
Filed under: Triticum aestivum (bread wheat)
Lineage: Eukaryota; Viridiplantae; Streptophyta; Magnoliopsida; Poales; Poaceae
Description: partial small subunit ribosomal RNA
Source: RNAcentral